Molecule: long non-coding RNA, 1199 nt
Filed under: Rattus norvegicus (Norway rat)
Lineage: Eukaryota; Metazoa; Chordata; Mammalia; Rodentia; Muridae
Description: long non-coding RNA NONRATT012254
Source: RNAcentral
UGCCUGCAUCCUAAGCUGCAAAGUACCAAGCGCUUCAUCAAAUGGUACAACGCCUGGAACGAGAAACGCAGGUACACCAAUGCUCGCCACCCCAGCCCCGCCCACCUCCAACCCCGCCCACCUCCAACCCCGCCCACCUCCAACCCCGCCCACCUCCAACCCACGCCCACCCUCGCCCACUCAGAAGGGAGUGGCUGUUAGCUAUAGCUUUCAGAGCAGGAACGGACCCACACGCCAUGCCACCUACCGGCCUCAUGUGACACCCACGUAAUAGCUAUGAAAGGAGAAACCCUAACACCACCUCACACUGCAGGUGGUGUCUCCUUUUGCGAGCACAAGUUCUAUCUCGUUUUAUCUUUCGCAUUAUAGACUUGUGUGAAGAUUUUUAAAGGUUUGUUUUUUUCUCUCUUAUGUAUAUGGGUAUCGGGCCUGCAUGUACAUAUGUGUACCCCUACAUGUCUGGUGCCUGUGGACCCCCCAAAAAGGGUCAUCAGAUCCCCUGACACUGCAGUUGCAGAUGUCAUGAGCUGCUGUGUGGGUGGCAGGAACCAAACCCAGGUCCUCUACAAGAACAGCAAUGCUCUUAACUGCCGAGCCAUCCCUCCAGCCCCUAACUCUCACAUUACAGUCCAAAUUGUUCUUUCUAUCUAAGUCACAUAAGCUGGAAGUGACUGGGUGAGCAUCUGGCAUAGUUGUCCCCUGUUAACUUCAGGGGGUGGGGUGUGACCUCUUAGGUGACAGUUUAUUAGCCAAAAAAACUACAGGUACACAGUGACCCCUGCCAGUGAGUUGAUUUCCUCUCCAAAGAGCCCCGUGCCCUGUUUGUCCUAGGCAUCUGACUUGUUCCUUCUCAGGCACGUUCUGAGGGUCAACUGAGUUCAGCCCUUUCCAAUAAGAGCCUCUUUACCCAAAGGGGCAGCAGUUGAGAUGGUCAGUGCCUUGGACCAGACACCUCUGCUGAUGGGCAGCUUUUCACCCUCGUCAGAAGGGGGCUCCCUAGUUCUAAUCUGGGGUCCUAGAUCUGGCCUUGGAAGGAGAGGCCAGUUCUCAGCUCCUGAGGUAGGUCACUCUGCAGACACCCGAGGCCUGUUUUAUCUUUACCUCCGAAGCAAAGCUAAGGAAGGAUGCACACAGAGGUGACCUCCAAGAAUUCCAGCAACUUGGCCUAAGAGGGGGAAACCAAGGUCAGGUGAGGACAC